RNAcentral lists this long non-coding RNA (466 nucleotides) under Gossypium barbadense (sea-island cotton). RNAcentral's name for it is "long non-coding RNA (GBAR_LNC020780)". The record is from RNAcentral. Lineage: Eukaryota; Viridiplantae; Streptophyta; Magnoliopsida; Malvales; Malvaceae.
CUUUUGCCCCUAACAUUUCACAUUUUUCACAAAUUAGUCCCUAUUUCACAAAAAUACAAAAUAAACAAACUUUCCUUGCACAAUAGCUUGGCCGAAUAUGCACUAAGCUCAUAUAAAUCCAUGCAUGUCAUUUAUUUCACAUUUUAGUCCCUCAAUUUAUUAUUUUUGCAAUUUAGCCUUAAUUACUCAAAAUCAUCAAAAAUUCAAUUUCAACAUAUAUAUAUAUCCAUUUCAUAUAUUUUAUUUUCUAUCAUUAAACAACAAAAUUACAAGCUUUCAACAAUGGCAAAACACAAAAUCAUCAUCAAAUUCAAAAAUUUAAGCAUGGGUCGAGUAGUAUUCGAAACAACGAUCUCAAAAACAUAAAAAUCAUCAAAAACCGAAACCGAAACAUACCUUAAUUUGCUUGAGCAAGGGCCGAAUACCUAGCUUGGUUUUCUUAUUUUCUUUCUCUUUUCAUUCGGCA